Molecule: ribosomal RNA, 331 nt
Filed under: uncultured Bacteroidota bacterium
Lineage: Bacteria; Pseudomonadati; Bacteroidota
Description: bacterial SSU rRNA
Rfam family: Bacterial small subunit ribosomal RNA
Source: RNAcentral
AUACUAGGGAAUAGCCCGAAGAAAUUUGGAUUAAUGCCCUAUAGUAUCUUUUUAAGGCAUCUUAUUAAGAUUAAAGGUUACGGUAUGAGAUGAGUAUGCGUUCUAUUAGCUAGUAGGUGUGGUAACGGCACACCUAGGCUACGAUAGAUAGGGGCCCUGAGAGGGGGAUCCCCCACACUGGUACUGAGACAGGACCAGACUCCUACGGGAGGCAGCAGUAAGGAAUAUUGGACAAUGGGCGAAAGCCUGAUCCAGCCAUGCCGCGUGCAGGAUGACUGCCCUAUGGGUUGUAAACUGCUUUUAUAUAGGAAGAAAAACUUUCUCGUGAGAG